CCAUCCCCUCAAGCUCCGCUUGGCUGGUUGGGCCCGCGUCCACCGGUGGUGGACGGGCCUGAAAGGCAGUGGCGGCUCCCGGGGACUCUGGUCCCUGGGGCGGUGAUGCAUGGGUCUCUUCAUCCACCGUCCCACGGGCCAUGCCCCGGGAGUCGGUCGAACGAUCGGUCUUCCCCUGUA
RNAcentral lists this unclassified non-coding RNA (180 nucleotides) under uncultured Elaphomyces. RNAcentral's name for it is "sequence contains ITS2". Lineage: Eukaryota; Fungi; Ascomycota; Eurotiomycetes; Eurotiales; Elaphomycetaceae. The record is from RNAcentral.